UACGUAGGGUGCGAGCGUUAAUCGGAAUUACUGGGCGUAAAGCGUGCGCAGGCGGUUUUGUAAGCCAGAUGUGAAAUCCCCGGGCUUAACCUGGGAAGGGCAUUUGGGACUGCAAGGCUUGAGUGCGGCAGAGGAGACUGGAAUUCCUGGUGUAGCAGUGAAAUGCGUAGAUAUCAGGAGGAAUACCGAUGGCGAAGGCAGGUCUCUGGGCUGACACUGACGCUCAUGCACGAAAGCGUGGGGAGCAAACAGG
This 253-nucleotide ribosomal RNA is filed under the name uncultured bacterium. Its description in RNAcentral is "partial 16S ribosomal RNA". It matches the Rfam family "Bacterial small subunit ribosomal RNA", at positions 524 to 776 of the family's 1533-position model. The record is from RNAcentral.